CUUAAAAAUAAAAGUAUAUCAUGGAAAGAAUGGAUUUUUGGCAUCCUAUUCUUUGAUGGUGAAUGGUCUUGUUUAAGGAGUCGCCACCUAGUAUUAUGGUCACUAGGAAUCCUAACUGGUUAACAGAGAUUCUAUGGUACGAGACUGGUUACGCAAAAGGGAAGAUAUUAUCACCCCUUAAGCGUCCUGCCUAAGGCAGGCUGCAUUGCUGACUUUGUCAUAAAUUGCUAAUGUUUUGUU
This 240-nucleotide long non-coding RNA is filed under the name Populus trichocarpa (black cottonwood). RNAcentral describes it as "long non-coding RNA (PTRI_LNC004696)". Lineage: Eukaryota; Viridiplantae; Streptophyta; Magnoliopsida; Malpighiales; Salicaceae. The record is from RNAcentral.